UGCAAGUCGAGCGAAUCGAUGGGGAGCUUGCUCCCUGAGAUUAGCGGCGGACUUGUGAGUAACACGUGGGCAACCUGCCUAUAAGACUGGGAUAACUUCGGGAAACCGGAGCUAAUACCGGAUACGUUCUUUUCUCGCAUGAGAGAAGAUGGAAAGACGGCCUCUAGCUGUCACUUAUAGAUGGGCCCGCGGCGCAUUAGCUAGUUGGUGAGGUAAUGGCUCACCAAGGCGACGAUGCGUAGCCGACCUGAGAGGGUGAUCGGCCACACUGGGACUGAGACACGGCCCAGACUCCUACGGGAGGCAGCAGUAGGGAAUCUUCCGCAAUGGACGAAAGUCUGACGGAGCAACCCCGCGUGAACAAAAAAGGCCUUCGGGUCGUAAAGUUCUGUUGUUAGGGAAGAACAAGUACCAGUGUAACUGCUUGUACCUUGAGGGUACCUAACCAGAAAGCCACGGCUAACUACGUGCCAGCAGCCGCGGUAAUACGUAGGUGGCAAGCGUUGUCCGAAAUUAUUGGGCGUAAAGCGCCCCCAGGUGGUUUCUUAAGUCAGAUGUGAAAGCCCACGGCUCAACCGUGGAGGGUCAUUGGAAACUGGGGAACUUGGGUGCAGAAGAAGAAAGUGGAAUUCCAAGUGUAGCGGUGAAAUGCUUAGAGAUUUGGAGGAACACCAGUGGCGAAGGCGACUUUUCUGGGUCUGUAAACUGACACUGAG
RNAcentral lists this ribosomal RNA (716 nucleotides) under Peribacillus butanolivorans. Its description in RNAcentral is "bacterial SSU rRNA". It matches the Rfam family "Bacterial small subunit ribosomal RNA", at positions 56 to 750 of the family's 1533-position model. Lineage: Bacteria; Bacillati; Bacillota; Bacilli; Caryophanales; Bacillaceae. The record is from RNAcentral.